Molecule: non-coding RNA, 67 nt
Organism: Dipodomys ordii (Ord's kangaroo rat)
Lineage: Eukaryota; Metazoa; Chordata; Mammalia; Rodentia; Heteromyidae
Source: Rfam
GGUGGCUCAGUGGUAGAGCGCUUGCCUUGUAUGCCUGAGGCCCUGGGUUCGAUUCUCCCCAGCACCA